This 270-nucleotide ribosomal RNA is filed under the name uncultured archaeon. RNAcentral describes it as "partial 16S ribosomal RNA". It matches the Rfam family "Archaeal small subunit ribosomal RNA", at positions 477 to 747 of the family's 1478-position model. The record is from RNAcentral.
CUGCAGCCCGAGUGGUGACCGAUUUUAUUGAGCCUAAAGCGUCCGUAGCCGGACUAGUAAACCCUUGGGUAAAUUGGGCAGCUUAACUGUCCAAAUUCCGAGGGGACUGCUAGUCUUGGGACCGGGAGAGGUCAGAGGUACUCAAGGGGUAGGGGCUAAAUCCUGUAAUCCUUUGGGGACCACCAGUGGCGAAGGCGUCUGACUAGAACGGAUCCGACGGUAAGGGACGAAACCCUGGGGCGCGAACCGGAUUAGAUACCCGAGUAGUCC